UACAGAGGGGGCAAGCGUUGUUCGGAAUUACUGGGCGUAAAGGGCGCGUAGGCGGCCUUCUAAGUCGAACGUGAAAUCCCCGGGCUCAACCCGGGAACUGCGUCCGAUACUGGAAGGCUUGAAUCCGGGAGAGGGAUGCGGAAUUCCAGGUGUAGCGGUGAAAUGCGCAGAUAUCAGGAGGAACACCGGUGGCGAAGGCGGGUCUCUGGGCCGAUACUGACGCUGAGGCGCGAAAGCCAGGGGAGCGAACGGG
This 253-nucleotide ribosomal RNA is filed under the name uncultured bacterium. RNAcentral describes it as "partial 16S ribosomal RNA". It matches the Rfam family "Bacterial small subunit ribosomal RNA", at positions 524 to 776 of the family's 1533-position model. The record is from RNAcentral.